UCGAACGAGAAAGUGGAGCAUCCAUGAGUAAAGUGGCGACCGGGUGAGUAACACGUGACUACCUACCCUUGAGUGGGGGAUAACCUCGGGAAACCGAGGCUAAUACCGCAUAAUAUCGAAAGAUCAAAGGAGUAAUCCGCUUUUGGAGGGGGUCGCGGCUGAUUAGCUAGUUGGUAGGGUAAUGGCCUACCAAGGCGAAGAUCGGUAUCCGGCCUGAGAGGGCGCACGGACACACUGGAACUGAAACACGGUCCAGACUCCUACGGGAGGCAGCAGUGGGGAAUUUUGCGCAAUGGGGGAAACCCUGACGCAGCAACGCCGCGUGGAGGAUGAAGCCCCUUGGGGUGUAAACUCCUUUCGACCGGGAAAAUUAUGAUGGUACCGGUGGAAGAAGCCCCGGCUAACUUCGUGCCAGCAGCCGCGGUAAUACGAGGGGGGCGAGCGUUGUUCGGAAUUAUUGGGCGUAAAGGGUGCGUAGGCGGUUUGGUAAGUCUUAUGUGAAAUCUAUGGGCUCAACUCAUAGACUGCAUGAGAAACUGCCGGGCUUGAGUAUGGGAGAGGUGAGUGGAAUUCCUGGUGUAGCGGUGAAAUGCGUAGAUAUCAGGAGGAACACCUGUGGCGAAAGCGGCUCACUGGACCAUAACUGACGCUGAUGCACGAAAGCUAGGGGAGCAAACAGGAUUAGAUACCCUGGUAGUCCUAGCCCUAAACGAUGACUGCUUGG
RNAcentral lists this ribosomal RNA (724 nucleotides) under uncultured bacterium. RNAcentral describes it as "bacterial SSU rRNA". It matches the Rfam family "Bacterial small subunit ribosomal RNA", at positions 62 to 820 of the family's 1533-position model. The record is from RNAcentral.